UGAGUAACGCGUGGGUAACCUGCCCUUAAGUCUGGGAUACCAUUUGGAAACAGAUGCUAAUACCGGAUAAAAGCUACUUUCACAUGAAAGAAGUUUAAAAGGCGGCGUAAGCUGUCGCUAAAGGAUGGACCUGCGAUGCAUUAGCUAGUUGGUAAGGUAACGGCUUACCAAGGCGAUGAUGCAUAGCCGAGUUGAGAGACUGAUCGGCCACAUUGGGACUGAGACACGGCCCAAACUCCUACGGGAGGCAGCAGCU
This 256-nucleotide ribosomal RNA is filed under the name uncultured Lactobacillus sp. RNAcentral describes it as "partial 16S ribosomal RNA". It matches the Rfam family "Bacterial small subunit ribosomal RNA", at positions 107 to 355 of the family's 1533-position model. Lineage: Bacteria; Bacillati; Bacillota; Bacilli; Lactobacillales; Lactobacillaceae. The record is from RNAcentral.